GACGAACGCUGGCGGCGUGCUUAACACAUGCAAGUCGAACGGAAAGGCCCUGCUUUUGUGGGGUGCUCGAGUGGCGAACGGGUGAGUAACACGUGAGUAACCUGCCCUUGACUUUGGGAUAACUUCAGGAAACUGGGGCUAAUACCGGAUAGGAGCUCCUGCUGCAUGGUGGGGGUUGGAAAGUUUCGGCGGUUGGGGAUGGACUCGCGGCUUAUCAUCUUGUUGGUGGGGUAGUGGCUUACCAAGGCUUUGACGGGUAGCCGGCCUGAGAGGGGGACCGGCCAAAUUGGGACUGAGAUACGGCCCAGACUCCUACGGGAGGCAGCAGUGGGGAAUAUUGCACAAUGGGGGGAAGGCUGAUGCAGCAACGCCGCGUGCGGGAUGACGGCCUUCGGGUUGUAAACCGCUUUCGCCUGUGACGAAGCGUGAGUGACAGUAAUGGGUAAAGAAGCACCGGCUAACUACGUG
This 468-nucleotide ribosomal RNA is filed under the name uncultured bacterium. Its description in RNAcentral is "partial 16S ribosomal RNA". It matches the Rfam family "Bacterial small subunit ribosomal RNA", at positions 28 to 507 of the family's 1533-position model. The record is from RNAcentral.